RNAcentral lists this ribosomal RNA (439 nucleotides) under uncultured bacterium. RNAcentral's name for it is "partial 16S ribosomal RNA". It matches the Rfam family "Bacterial small subunit ribosomal RNA", at positions 339 to 795 of the family's 1533-position model. The record is from RNAcentral.
CUACGGGUGGCAGCAGUGAGGAAUAUUGCACAAUGGGGGGAACCCUGAUGCAGCAACGCCGCGUGGAGGAUGACGCAUUUCGGUGUGUAAACUCCUUUUAUAUGUCAAGAAAAUGACGGUAGCAUAUGAAUAAGCACCGGCUAACUCCGUGCCAGCAGCCGCGGUAAUACGGAGGGUGCAAGCGUUACUCGGAAUCACUGGGCGUAAGGGACGCGUAGGCGGGUUGGAAAGUCAGGUGUGAAAUCCUACAGCUUAACUGUAGAACUGCACUUGAAACUUCUAAUCUAGAGUAUGGGAGGGGGAGAUGGAAUUAGUGGUGUAGGGGUAAUAUCCGUAGAUAUCACUAGGAAUACCUAAAGCGAAGGCGAUCUCCUGGAACAUUACUGACGCUAAGGCGUGAAAGCGUGGGGAGCAAACAGGAUUAGAUACCCGUGUAGUC